This 478-nucleotide ribosomal RNA is filed under the name uncultured bacterium. RNAcentral's name for it is "SSU rRNA". It matches the Rfam family "Bacterial small subunit ribosomal RNA", at positions 26 to 518 of the family's 1533-position model. The record is from RNAcentral.
AGGACGAACGCUGGCGGCGUGCUUAACACAUGCAAGUCGAGCGAGGCUCCUCCUUCGGGAGGAUGCCCUAGCGGCGAACGGGUGAGUAACACGUGGGCAACCUGCCCCUAGCACUGGGAUAACCCCGGGAAACCGGGGCUAAUACCGGAUACGACUUCGGAAGGCAUCUUCUGAAGUGGAAAAGGUUACUGGCUAGGGAUGGGCCCGCGGCCUAUCAGCUUGUUGGUGGGGUAAUGGCCCACCAAGGCGACGACGGGUAGCCGGCCUGAGAGGGCGACCGGCCACACUGGGACUGAGACACGGCCCAGACUCCUACGGGAGGCAGCAGUGGGGAAUAUUGCACAAUGGGCGAAAGCCUGAUGCAGCGACGCCGCGUGAGGGAUGACGGCCUUCGGGUGUAAACCUCUUUCAGCAGGGACGAAGCGAAAGUGACGGUACCUGCAGAAGAAGCACCGGCCAACUACGCGCCAGCAGCCGC